Molecule: small RNA, 1282 nt
Filed under: Rattus norvegicus (Norway rat)
Lineage: Eukaryota; Metazoa; Chordata; Mammalia; Rodentia; Muridae
Description: uncharacterized LOC102547851
Source: RNAcentral
GCCCUUCGCUGAUGAUUGAUAACGAAGACGCACAUAUACACGGCUGGGAAGAAACGCGAAGUGACGAAAUCCACAGCUAAGAGAACGAACUAGAAAUCAAUCAUGUCUGCUGUCCUCCUGUUCCUGCAGCUUCCCGAGGCUUUGAGAGAUCCAACCUCUGAAGAUGAAUCGAAGACCAGUCCUUCUGCAUCACAUGCCACUCAGGACUGCUCUCACAGAGCCCGGAUGUAGUCAGCCUUGCCCAGCAGCCUCCAGGAGUUCCUGUGCACCCUAUUUUUCUCAAUACCACAGUAUCACUAAAGGUCUGAACUGGAACAUAUCAAGAAGACACACGAGAAGGUCAAGGUGAUGGAGCUCUUGGCUGGUUAUCCACCUCACAAAGAGCCAAUCAGCAAAGCUUGAAUGACCUGUGUUUUCAUCUCUGACUCCUCUGCUCGGAGGCAUCAGUAAGUAGGGGUCUCAAGAUUACAUGGGCACUUCUGAAUCCAGAAGAACCAGUGAUUCCCUGAUUCAAGUUCCUCAACUUAAUCCAGCCAACCUCCAUCUCCAGGAUCUUCCUGAAUGAUGAAGAGCUGAGCCCUGAGGUAGAUCCUCACUGCUUAGGACGUUUACCUGCUCCAACCUCCACACAUCGAGAUACAGGACAACACAUGUGAGCUGAUCCUCACAUCCAGCACACAACAGACUUUCCAAAAACUCUCUGACCACAAAGUUGGUGCCAGAUCACAGUGGUGAGCAGACUCAGAAGUGUGCAGACCACCAAGUGAAGUCCCCACUCCCUAACCCUGCUCUACCAUAAGCAGCCACUCACAGCGCGGGGACAUCCUGUCCUCCGUGUUUGACUGUGAGAGCUCUGUUUCAUCUUCAAUUCCGAGCUUCAGUAAUGAAUUUUAAAAUUUGAAUUCUAGAAGACAGGAUGGACUCUGAUUUCAUAUUCAGAAGGUCUUGUUUGCAGAAGAUGUAGGUCUCAGGUAGACAAGCCACAGGCACAGUGUGGAGGAGCAGCCGAGUCUGGAGAUCUACACCUUGAGUAGAGACAGAGGCUCCGAUGGUAGGAGGAUCACCACAUUUUUGUUCUCAGAGGCUUUGAGGGCUGUCCUGUACCAGACUGGAAACCACGAACAUCUGAAUUCCUCUCAGUUCACUUCAUUCUGCCUCAGCUCCGCACAGUGCUUUGACCAGCAAUGGCUGCUCACUGUUGGUUUGCCACCUGACACAAGCGGAAGUUAUCAUAGAGAAAGGAGCCUUCGUUGAGGAAAUGCCUCCGUGAGACCCAGCUGUA